UAAGUGGUUGAGGAACUCUUCUGUUCCUCCUCCGGGGCAUAGGGGAUAGUCUACAGCAGAAUGGAAUUGAAGGAGGAGGUGGGUUAUAACUUAAGCAUGAUGACUGAGUGGGAGGGGAGUAAUGGUUUUAUGGGUAGGGCACUAGACUGGGACUCGGGAGAUCUGUAUUUGGCAUGUGCUUUGCCACAGAUUUUCAUGUUAAGUCCCUUAAUCUCUCUCCACCUCAGCUUCCCCUUUGUAAAACAAGGACAAUACUAUUUCCUUUCUUCCCUCCCUUUGUCUUGUCUUUUGAGAUUGGAAGCUCUUUGGAGCAGGGACUGUCUCUCACCAUGUGUCUAUGCAGCAUGGAGCACAGUGGACCCUGAUCUCAGUUGCACCCUCUAGAUGCUACUGUAAUAUAAACAGUAACUCGCGGCUGCUUGAGCUGAAGGCCUGAGGUGAAACCGUUAAUUCCCAGCUGGUUGCAAAGUGCCCCUCCGCCCAAAGAAAAAGAAAUGUUCAAGCCACAGGUGAUGAUUGGUGUUGUAACCCAGAAACGAAAACGAAAAAGUCCCAGUAGAUAACUUGCUGUUAGGUCUGCGAGGAGGAUGGAAAUUCCGUUUUGCAGAGGGCUUUUGCGGUGUUGAAAUUUGGCUUUCAUUCAAACUUUGAAAUUCUCCACCAAAGAAAAUUCUUGGCUUUUUCAAUUUAUAUUAUAAUCUAUUUUAUAAUACAAAAUAACCAAAAAAUAUUGAAAUGGAGGCUAAAAAUAUUUUGUUCUACAAAUGUUGAAAUGGGACAACUUUCCCCUCCCUCCCCCAGUUUUUCUCCAAAAUGAAAGGUCUGUGAAAUUGACAUUUUGAGAAGCGUUUCAGUUUUGGAUGGCACCGCUGUCUCUGAUGGAGAAUGGCUGAGCUGAAGUUUUUCUGAGCAGCUCUAUUUUUUAUACCAUAAGACAGCUGGAAGCUGAAUUGCCCACUCCUCAAGAACAGCGUUCUGUUUUACAGUAUCAAGGGUUUAUUAGAAGUCCAGUUGUAUGCCCCCCCCAACAGGAUUCCAGUCUGAAAAUCCUGCUAGAUUCAUCACAGAAAUUUAAUUUGAAACAGGUGAGUAGCUUGGUUACAAACUCAACCAGUAGUUGAUGGGAUGGGAUUGGGAAGGGAGUCUGUAAACCUUGCACGCAAGUACAUGCUUUGCUCAGCAGUAUGUUUCCCUUGGUUACUCCCCCCUCCCCCGUUUCAAGUUUUAACAGAGGAAGCAGUGUUACUAUUCUUCAAAGCCUUCCUAGCUUCUGCAAUAGAGAAUUUAAACAGGACAGCUUCUGAAGAUGGAGACAGCUCAAAGAAAUGUCCCUACUUACCUGGCCCUGUCUAUCUUUAACUUGUUGUGCUGCUGCCUUCCACUUGGAAUAGCUGCUCUCAUCUUUUCUCUCAGAGUAGAGAAUGCCACUGGGACAGGUGACAUGGAGCGAGCGUCCCAAGCUUCUCGCACUGCCCGCGUGCUGAAUAUCAUCGGGAUCGUCGUAGGAGUAAUUUUCCUCAUCAUUGUAAUUGUCAUAGUGGUAGUGGGGAGAAACACCAAGUGAUAGAAGACAGCGUCACCUUCUAAAAACUUGCUGGGCAAUAGCCAUGUAUCCAGCGCAAGCCCUCCUACCUUCUCAAAGAGCCAGCUGGGCGCAAAAAGCCAAAGAUGGGAGUCCUCAGCACCCCUGAGACUGCCAGCCAGAAGCUGCAUCAUGCACAAGCACCAUCCUGUUCUUCUAGAAGCAUUUCUUCAUAAUUAAUUGCUUUGCGCUUUUGAAUUAACCAGAUUAACAUGGUCUUCUCUACUGGUACGCAAAUAUAUUGUAACAAGAUACAAUAAAAAAGGAUUUGUAUA
Long non-coding RNA from Chelonia mydas (Green sea turtle), 1857 nucleotides. RefSeq lists it as uncharacterized. Lineage: Eukaryota; Metazoa; Chordata; Testudines; Cheloniidae. The transcript has 2 exons. The record is from RefSeq and is a predicted model, not a curated record.